This 623-nucleotide ribosomal RNA is filed under the name uncultured fungus. RNAcentral's name for it is "eukaryotic LSU rRNA". It matches the Rfam family "Eukaryotic large subunit ribosomal RNA", at positions 40 to 647 of the family's 3401-position model. Lineage: Eukaryota; Fungi. The record is from RNAcentral.
AUAUCAAUAAGCGGAGGAAAAGAAACUAACAAGGAUUCCCCUAGUAACUGCGAGUGAAGCGGGAAAAGCUCAAAUUUAAAAUCUGGCGGUCUUUGGCCGUCCGAGUUGUAGUCUGGAGAAGUGCUUUCCGCGCUGGACCGUGUAUAAGUCUCUUGGAACAGAGCGUCAUAGAGGGUGAGAAUCCCGUCUUUGACACGGACUACCAGUGCUUUGUGAUGCGCUCUCAAAGAGUCGAGUUGUUUGGGAAUGCAGCUCAAAAUGGGUGGUGAAUUCCAUCUAAAGCUAAAUAUUGGCGAGAGACCGAUAGCGAACAAGUACCGUGAGGGAAAGAUGAAAAGCACUUUGGAAAGAGAGUUAAACAGUACGUGAAAUUGCUGAAAGGGAAACGCUUGAAGUCAGUCGCGUUGUCCGGAACUCAGCCUUGCUUUUGCUUGGUGCACUUUCCGGAUGACGGGUCAGCAUCGAUUUUGACCGUCGGAAAAGGGCUGGAGUAAUGUGGCACCUCCGGGUGUGUUAUAGACUCUGGUCGCAUACGACGGUUGGGAUCGAGGAACGCAGCGCGCCGCAAGGCAGGGGUUCGCCCACUUUCGCGCUUAGGAUGCUGGCAUAAUGGCUUUAAACGA